AGAGGACAUCAUCCCAUGUGAUUGAAGCACAUCAAACACUGAUGAUUGUGACGACUGCUUUCCAGCCAUCCCGUCAACAUGGACCAUGAAGAUGUGACAUCACAGUACAGAGAGAGAGAUACAUCAUGGCUUGAGGCAGCUACAUACCAGGGUCCCAAAUGGAAUUUGAAGGACUAACACAGUCGAACAACUUUGAGUUGGACACAUCAAGAUGCUUAGCAACCUUAUGCAGUACCAUUAAAAAUUAGCAUAGCAUACAACAUCAUCACCACCUCAUCUAAGGCGUCAUGACAACAGAUGGACACAUUGUCAACAGAAUGAACCCCAAGAACACGAAUGAGACGAAGAGACGAAGAGACAGACCAAGUUGGCGAUAGAUGGAUGACAUCAGAGAAUUUACAAGCGUCACUCGGAUGCAACAAGCACAAGAAAGAUCAAGGUGGAAUGGUGAUGAAGAGGCCUUCCUUCUGCAGUAUGAAGCCACAUAGGCUAGAUAUUAUGUCACUUAAAAUAACACACAAAAAGAUUUGUGAAGAUUUCACAUUUCGUUGGCCUGUUUAAUUCAUUCUUGGAAGUAUAUGUGCUUUUCGAAUUAUUGUCAACAUACUUGAAAUGAGGUACUUCAUUACAAGUAUGUAGACAGAAUACAUGUUAAACUUGUAUCGAGGUACUAUACAAGUUCAUG
Asterias rubens (European starfish) is the source of this 685-nucleotide long non-coding RNA. RefSeq lists it as uncharacterized. The transcript has 3 exons. Lineage: Eukaryota; Metazoa; Echinodermata; Asteroidea; Forcipulatida; Asteriidae. The record is from RefSeq and is a predicted model, not a curated record.